AAAGAUUUAUUUCUCUUGACAACCAAGGGCCUCCGUCUGGAUUUCCAAGGAAGAAUUUCCUCUGAAGCACCGGAACUUGCUACUACCAGCACCAUGCCCUACCAAUAUCCAGCACUGACCCCGGAGCAGAAGAAGGAGCUGUCUGACAUCGCUCACCGCAUCGUGGCACCUGGCAAGGGCAUCCUGGCUGCAGAUGAGUCCACUGGGAGCAUUGCCAAGCGGCUGCAGUCCAUUGGCACCGAGAACACCGAGGAGAACCGGCGCUUCUACCGCCAGCUGCUGCUGACAGCUGACGACCGCGUGAACCCCUGCAUUGGGGGUGUCAUCCUCUUCCAUGAGACACUCUACCAGAAGGCGGAUGAUGGGCGUCCCUUCCCCCAAGUUAUCAAAUCCAAGGGCGGUGUUGUGGGCAUCAAGGUAAGGGGAGGGCCUCAGGACGUGAGGUUUGAGAUGGAAGUGGAGGAAGGAAAUCCAGGUUAGUGAGGCAGGGAAUGAAUGCUGGAUUGGUGGCCUAGAGACUUGCAUGGAGCCUGCUUCAGGCUUAGGGCAUUUACUCGACAUUUUUAAUCCUCACAAUUCUGAGAGAACGGUAUCAUUCCCACUUUACACAUGAAAAUCUCAGAAGCUCAGGGAAGUGAAGUGUUUUGCUCAGAGUAAGUGGCAGAGCCCCAGUCUGACACCCAAUUCACUCAACAUUUCUGUUGUCAAAUAACAUCCCAGUGUAUCCUGUCUCAGAGGAUUGUUACUAAGUGAACUAAGUGAAAAUAUUUUAAUUUAAUUGUAACUAAGUAUUUGAGUAACUAAACAUUUUAAGUAAAUUUUUUUUUUUUUUUUUUUUUUGAGAUGGAGUCUCGCUGUCUCCCAGGCUGGAGUGCAGUGGCGCGAUCUCUUGGCUCACUGCAAGUUCCGCCUCCCAGGUUCACGCCAUUCUCCUGCCUCAGCCUCCCGAGUAGCUGGGACUACAGGCGCCCGCCACCACCCAGCUAAUUUUUUUUUGUAUUUUUAGUAGAGACUGGGUUUCACCAUGUUAGCCAGGAUGGUCUCAAUCUCCUGAUCUCGUGAUCUGCCCACCUCGGCCUCCCAAAGUGCUGGGAUUACAGGCGUGAGCCACCAUGCGCGGCUUAAGUAACUAAAUAUUUUAAUUGUAACUAAGUGAAAAUAUUUGCCAGCCCUGAGAUGCAGCUUAAGGGAUUAAGUAAAUGUGGGGGAAGACUGGGGCUAAAGAAGAGGAAAGAGGGGCACGCCCAGCUACCUAGGAGGCUGAGGCGGGAGGAUCACUUGAGUCCAGGAAGUGGAGGCUUCAGUGAGCUGAGAUUCCACCACUGUACUCCAGCCGGGGCGACAGUGGAAAGGGUGCUAGAGGUCAUUUCCUGUGUCUUAAUGUUGUUACCCUGACCCCAACAGGUAGACAAGGGCGUGGUCCCCCUGGCAGGGACAAAUGGCGAGACUACCACCCAAGGUGAGAACUGUUUGAUUCUCUGCCCUACGAACCCAACCAGAGCAGGUUUGGGUGCUGGGAGGAGUGGAAACCACAUGCCCUUCCCCACCGUGCUCUGACCCCUCCCUCUUCUCUUAGGGUUGGAUGGGCUGUCUGAGCGCUGUGCCCAGUACAAGAAGGAUGGAGCUGACUUCGCCAAGUGGCGUUGUGUGCUGAAGAUUGGGGAACACACCCCCUCAGCCCUCGCCAUCAUGGAAAAUGCCAAUGUUCUGGCCCGUUAUGCCAGUAUCUGCCAGCAGAAUGGCAUUGUGCCCAUCGUAGAGCCUGAGAUCCUCCCUGAUGGGGACCAUGACUUGAAGCGCUGCCAGUAUGUGACCGAGAAGGUGCUGGCUGCUGUCUACAAGGCUCUGAGUGACCACCACAUCUACCUGGAAGGCACCUUGCUGAAGCCCAACAUGGUCACCCCAGGCCAUGCUUGCACCCAGAAGUUUUCUCAUGAGGAGAUUGCCAUGGCGACUGUCACAGCGCUGCGCCGCACAGUGCCCCCCGCUGUCACUGGGAUCACCUUCCUGUCUGGAGGCCAGAGUGAGGAGGAGGCGUCCAUCAACCUCAAUGCUAUUAACAAGUGCCCCCUGCUGAAGCCCUGGGCCCUGACCUUCUCCUACGGCCGAGCCCUGCAGGCCUCUGCCCUGAAGGCCUGGGGCGGGAAGAAGGAGAACCUGAAGGCUGCGCAGGAGGAGUAUGUCAAGCGAGCCCUGGCCAACAGCCUUGCCUGUCAAGGAAAGUACACUCCGAGCGGUCAGGCUGGGGCUGCUGCCAGCGAGUCCCUCUUCGUCUCUAACCACGCCUAUUAAGCGGAGCUGUUCCCAGGCUGCCCCCAACACUCCAGGCCCUGCCCCCUCCCACUCUUGAAGAGGAGGCCUCCUCCUCGGGGCUCCAGGCUGGCUUGCCCGCGCUCUUUCCUCCCUCGUGACAGUGGUGUGUGGUGUCGUCUGUGAAUGCUAAGUCCAUCACCCUUUCCGGCACACUGCCAAAUAAACAGCUAUUUAAGGGGGAGUCGGCCGUCCGUGUCUUGUGGUGUCUAAUGCAGGGGAGGGCC
Molecule: small RNA, 2537 nt
Filed under: Pan troglodytes (chimpanzee)
Lineage: Eukaryota; Metazoa; Chordata; Mammalia; Primates; Hominidae
Description: retained intron
Source: RNAcentral